AUCCAUGGUUUUAAUUACUGUUUUGAUCUAGAAAAAAGCACGAGUCGAUUAUCAAUCAACAGAAAAGGUCUAAGGUUGACUUCAAAGUCAAAUUAAAUGUCGACUUACAUCGAUAAAAAUGUCUUGACUAUAGUCUACUACAAUCUGCCAGUAAGUCAACUUAGAAAUCUACUUUAUGGCGACUAAAAGUCAAUUUUUAACCGAGGUUGUAUGGAUUUUUCAGUUUUUAUUGUUGUAUUAAACAUAAAAGUAAUAAACAGAUGUUAGUAAAACUUUACAACAAUACAUCUUAACGGUCCAGAAAAGUACUGUUAAAUUUUUGAAACGAUGCACUUGCUCGUUUGAGUAAUAUAACUGAUAAAAUAUAAAAAUUUACAAUAAUCAAAGUAAUGCAGCACGUAAGUAUGAUAAAUGUGUACUAGUGAUCUAACAUGAAUUUCAAAUUGUUGUAUUUAGUUAUCUAA
RNAcentral lists this long non-coding RNA (464 nucleotides) under Monomorium pharaonis (pharaoh ant). RNAcentral's name for it is "uncharacterized LOC118646046". The record is from RNAcentral. Lineage: Eukaryota; Metazoa; Arthropoda; Insecta; Hymenoptera; Formicidae.